UCUUUCACUCAAAAGAACUGUGCUAAAAUUAGAGUCCAGGUCCUCCUGCUAUAUGCAAUCAUGCUAGUAGAGUAUAAUGUGGAAGAAGAGCACUAGCCCUGCACUGGAAAUGAUACCGGAAAAGAGGUCUAGCCCUCUUUCUUUAUGUCCAGUGGCUUGUGUUUCAAGGUCCAGAGCAACAUUA
Myxocyprinus asiaticus (Chinese sucker) is the source of this 184-nucleotide small nucleolar RNA. RefSeq annotates it as small nucleolar RNA SNORA81. The transcript has a single exon. The record is from RefSeq and is a predicted model, not a curated record. NCBI's taxonomy places the organism in Eukaryota, Metazoa, Chordata, Actinopteri, Cypriniformes, Catostomidae.